AGAGUUAGCUAUUUUUCCUUGACAUUCAUGAGUAUGUUCAUAUUUACCUCGGUGUGAAAGUCCUUCACAAGUUUGGGCAGCAACUUCCUUUGGGAAGCUCUCACCGUAAGGUGUUUGGACCUUAGGUUUUAGAUUUAUUGGGUUAAGUGUGGAUACCAAUUGGCGUAGCCUUUCAACCUGCCAUUUCAUGUCAUCAAUAUUGUCAGUGAUGUGGUCAAACGUGGCAUCGAUAUUGGUGGAAUCCAUGGUACUUAAAAUAAAAAAAAACAACGAAUAACAAAACAACAAACUUGUUAGCUCAAAAAUGCCUCACCACACUCUCACUCUCGAUUUUUACCUCACACUUAAUUUCACAAGUAUUGAAAGUCGGCUUGUACUUCGUGAGUGAUUGAGGGUCAAGUCUACUCUUGACCGGAAUAGAUUUUCGUUUAAGUUGACUCAAAGAAAAUUUGUUUACGGACUUGAACCAACAAGAUAUAAAGAAUUCACAAAAGAUAAAAGCACACGGUAGGGAAUCAAUAUACUCAUAUGUAGGUAAGCUACUACUCACACUCAACGGCUUAUUUGUCUCGCGGUCAUCAUUCAUAUGCACUAAGGUGUAAGAUUUAGCUAUUUUACCUUGACUUUCAUGAGUAUGUUCGUUUUUACCUCGGUGUAAGAGUCCUUCACAAGCUUGGGCAACAACUUCCUCUAAAAAAUUCUCAUCGCAAAGUGCUUGCACAAUUGAAUUUUGUGGGAAGAGUUUGGGUAGCAAUUGACAUAUAAUUUCAAUGUGUCGUUUCAUAUCUUCAAUAUUGUCAUCUAUGCGAUCAAAUGUGACAUUGAAAUUAUGGGAAGCCAUUGUACCUACCAAAAAGACACAACAAACAAGGAAAAAAAACAAAUUUGUUAGAUAAAAAAGGCCUCACCACACUCUCACUCUCAGUUUCACCUCGCACUUGGUUUCAUAAGUGUUGAAAGUUGGCUUGUACUUCAUGAGUGAUUGAGGGUCGGGCCGACUCUUGUUCAGAAUGGAUUUUUGUUUGAAACUCAAAUGAAAUCUUGUAGGACUUGAUUCAAGAACUAACAAGGAAUUCAAAAUGAGAAAAACACACAACAAAUGUAAACAUGAACAAAUGGAUACAAAACUAACUUACAAGCUAGUAGAAGAUUACUAGAUUGUCAAUUAGUGUUUGACCCAAAAAAAUGAAACUAAAAAAUCUAAAAUUUGAGCUUAAUUAUGUUGCGGUGAACAGUAAAAUGUGAUGAUGAGGCAGCCACGUAAUUGGUCAUGGUCCCCGCACAAUUCUUGGUCAAUUUUUCAAUUUGGACUUUGGUGGAAUUUAUUUAAGGAGGGAAAUUCAAACAAGUCUUUUAGCCCCUUUUCAAUUCCAAGUUUUCAAGACUUGACUUUCUUGUCUUUUCUCCUCAAAACAUGGAAUUUGGUUUCCCUUAAAUCAUGGAAAGUUGGUGAGAAGUGAUGUAAAGCUUUUUUGGUGGUUGGGGGUCUUUCAAGACUAACAAUUACUUACACCUUUUUCUUCACCUUUUUGGAUCAAAUAAGCACUUUAUUUUUUUUUUAACAAGGUAUGAAGAUAGUGAUGAACAUCAAGAACAACAACAACAUUCACCAAGAACAACAACAACAAUUCCAAGAAUAACAAUAAUCUUCCAAGAACACCAACAAUUCCUCUUUCACGUCCCACUCUAUAUCCACAACAAUAUUAUCUUCAACACUUGGCCAAGACAACUACAACUGCAAUUAAAUGGUUCUUAGGCCACCAAUUAACAACAAAAUCACGUGGUCAAGCUAAGAACAACAACAAGGUGAAGACCAUACACCCAAAGUGGAGCCACAACAACAAAAAUGUCCAAAACACUUUCAAGUCACCACAACAAUGGUCAAGAUUAUAAGCUCAACAUUAGAUCUAGUCACUUUUAGUGUCGGUGAGAAAGGAACCAACACUAGAAACACACUAAACAAGUAAAAGACUACUAAAUCUAGUCACAAAACUAACAAAUCUUGGCCCACAACAAAAACACAAUUUUGGCCAAGAACACAACCACAGACAGAUUUGCUUCUUCUUUUUUUUUUUCAGCUUUUCAACAAUUUUUUUUUAAUUUUCUAACAAGCAAGCCCAAGAUUGAUCUUGUAGGAAUAAGAUCUAGCC
Molecule: long non-coding RNA, 2150 nt
Filed under: Capsicum annuum
Lineage: Eukaryota; Viridiplantae; Streptophyta; Magnoliopsida; Solanales; Solanaceae
Description: long non-coding RNA (CANN_LNC020320)
Source: RNAcentral